CAUUACGAGUACCUCCUCCCCCCACCCCCGUACCGGGUGUAGCUGGGAGAUCCUGACUCCAGGGCGGUGUGCGGGUGCCAUCUCGGGUCUGGCAACGGGACACCUGCUCGUCUCGGGGUGCGGGGAGCUCCUGCCGAACCCACGGUCACCAGAGCCGCCGAGGUCUCAAGAGCCGUGCCCAGCUCUCCCUGGACCAACUUGGCCCCUAGCUCCUUCUGCUCUCCACCCCUCUCCCCCCACCCUCCCACAAGGGUCGGAUAGAGUCGGCAGCCCGGAGUCCCACUGACCCCCUUCACACCACUGCCCUGGAGCUGAGAGGAGCUUUUCCUUCACCCCUCCACUCCCCACCUCCCCGCCUCCCCCAGUCCUCCCAGCCAAGCGCUCCCUUAUCCCAUCCCGCCCUAGCUCGGCCUUUCCUCUGAAGAAGCUGCUGGAAGGAGCUGGGGCAGGAGCCAGCAGACCUCGACCACCAGCCUCCCCCACCCCCCAACCCAGAUCAGAGUCUGACCCCGGAACCUCGUCCCCGCUCUGCGGAAUGGCCACACAGAGCCAGGCUGCGCGCGCUCGUGGUCGCUGCACACCUGUUGGAGGUCCGACAGACCUGGUAAAGUCCGGAUUCGGGGAAGCUGCCUGAGCUCGGGAGCACAAAACUACAUCUCCCAGAAUGCUGUUCGCGCGAGGGCACUCUCACCUACUGAAAAAGCAAAGUUUGUGUGAAGGCUUCCACUCAAGAUAUCUCAAGUUUUCCUCUCUUUUCACCAGAAUGUGCCAGCAGUUCCUUGCCUUAAAGAUGGUGGGUGGUCCCAAAGUGGGGGUAAGUCCUUUGAGGUCAGGUUGUCGGCUGUCUUUUAUUUUCUUAAUUUCUGUAGUCCCAGCACCCAAGACAAUGCUUUGCACAUACUACUAGGCACUUAAUAAAAUGGUGGUUGGAUUGGUCUGAA
Long non-coding RNA from Antechinus flavipes (yellow-footed antechinus), 941 nucleotides. RefSeq lists it as uncharacterized. NCBI's taxonomy places the organism in Eukaryota, Metazoa, Chordata, Mammalia, Dasyuromorphia, Dasyuridae. The transcript is spliced from 3 exons. The record is from RefSeq and is a predicted model, not a curated record.